CUACGGGUGGCUGCAGGCGAGAAAACUUUGCAAUGUGCGAAAGCACGACAAGGUUAAUCCGAGUGGUUUCUGCUAAAGGAACCUUUUGUCGGUCCUAGAAACACCGAUGAAUAAGGGGUGGGCAAGUUCUGGUGUCAGCCGCCGCGGUAAAACCAGCACCUCAAGUGGUCAGGAUGAUUAUUGGGCCUAAAGCAUCCGUAGCCGGCUCUGUAAGUUUUCGGUUAAAUCUGUACGCUUAACGUACAGGCUGCCGGGAAUACUGCAUAGCUAGGGAGUGGGAGAGGUAGACGGUACUCGGUAGGAAGGGGUAAAAUCCUUUGAUCUAUUGAUGACCACCUGUGGCGAAGGCGGUCUACCAGAACACGUCCGACGGUGAGGGAUGAAAGCUGGGGGAGCAAACCGGAUUAGAUACCCUGGUAGUC
RNAcentral lists this ribosomal RNA (422 nucleotides) under uncultured archaeon. RNAcentral's name for it is "partial 16S ribosomal RNA". It matches the Rfam family "Archaeal small subunit ribosomal RNA", at positions 323 to 746 of the family's 1478-position model. The record is from RNAcentral.